Molecule: unclassified non-coding RNA, 343 nt
Filed under: soil metagenome
Description: partial contains 5.8S ribosomal RNA, internal transcribed spacer 2, and large subunit ribosomal RNA
Rfam family: 5.8S ribosomal RNA (bases 1-120)
Source: RNAcentral
GAUGAAGAACGCAGUGAAAUGCGAUAAGUAAUGUGAAUUGCAGAAUUCAGUGAAUCAUCGAAUCUUUGAACGCACAUUGCGCCCGCCAGCAUUCUGGCGGGCAUGCCUGUUCGAGCGUCAUUUCAACCCUCGAGCCCCCCCGGGGGCCUCGGUGUUGGGGGACGGCACACCAGCCGCCCCCGAAAUGCAGUGGCGACCCCGCCGCAGCCUCCCCUGCGUAGUAGCACACACCUCGCACCGGAGCGCGGAGGCGGUCACGCCGUAAAACGCCCAACUUUCUUAGAGUUGACCUCGGAUCAGGUAGGAAUACCCGCUGAACUUAAGAAUAUCAAUAAGCGGAGGA